This 829-nucleotide ribosomal RNA is filed under the name uncultured archaeon. RNAcentral's name for it is "bacterial SSU rRNA". It matches the Rfam family "Archaeal small subunit ribosomal RNA", at positions 41 to 878 of the family's 1478-position model. The record is from RNAcentral.
UGACUAAGCCAUGCGAGUCGAGAGGGUUCGGCCCUCGGCGUACUGCUCAGUAACACGUGGAUAACCUGCCCUAAGGAAGGGGAUACCCUCGGGAAACUGAGGAUAAUACCCUAUAGGUUACCGAUGCUGGAAUGCUCGGUAACUCAAAGUUCCGGCGCCUUAGGAUGGAUCUGCGGCCGAUUAGGUAGUUGUUGGGGUAACGGCCCAACAAGCCCGUAAUCGGUACGGGUUGUGGGAGCAAGAGCCCGGAGUUGGAUUCUGAGACACGAAUCCAGGCCCUACGGGGCGCAGCAGGCGCGAAAACUUUACAAUGCGGGCAACCGUGAUAAGGGAACCUCGAGUGCCUGUACAUGCAGGCUGUCUGGGUGUCUAAAACACACCCAAAGAAAGGGCCGGGCAAGACCGGUGCCAGCCGCCGCGGUAAUACCGGCGGCUCGAGUGGUGGCCACUUUUAUUGGGCUUAAAGCGUUCGUAGCUGGGUUGUUAAGUCUCUUGGGAAAUCCGGCGGCUUAACCGUCGGGCGUCUAAGAGAUACUGGCAAUCUUGGAACCGGGAGAGGUGAGGGGUACUUCGGGGGUAGGAGUGAAAUCCUGUAAUCCUCGAGGGACCACCUGUGGCGAAGGCGCCUCACCAGAACGGCUUCGACAGUGAGGGACGAAAGCUGGGGGAGCAAACCGGAUUAGAUACCCGGGUAGUCCCAGCCGUAAACGAUGUGCGUUAGGUGUAUCGACGACCACGAGUCGUCGAGGUGCCGAAGGGAAACCGUGAAACGUACCGCCUGGGAAGUACGGUCGCAAGGCUGAAACUUAAAGGAAUUGGCGGGGGAGCA